RNAcentral lists this long non-coding RNA (2342 nucleotides) under Homo sapiens (human). RNAcentral describes it as "HSALNT0282608". Lineage: Eukaryota; Metazoa; Chordata; Mammalia; Primates; Hominidae. The record is from RNAcentral.
GGCCAGACUGUGCUGGUUCUCUUCUAAUCUGAGGUGGUGGUCUCCUCAAUUCUCAAUAAGGGUUCUUACCUCAACUUAAAGGGAGGGCCUUAGCUCCAUCCAAUCUGCUGACCUAGGAUCAACCCCUUCAAAUCAAGCCCUCAACUCUUUGAGAGUCUAGAAGAAGAAGCGACAGGGUUCUUAGCUAAACAGCCCUGCCAGGGUCUCUGAGACUGAGGGCAGGGCUGGAGUUGUGCAGAGAUCCCUUUGGUCAGGCAUGGGAGGCCCCCUUAGUUCUUCUAUUGUACCUUGUGGUAAAAGAUUACAUUGUCCAAGGAAAUGCCUAGAGAAAAAUCCUUGCCCAGAGAGAGGUCUGGCCGUGGCUCCUGGGAGGCAGUCUCUAAGCCCUUGGGAUGUCUUGCCUGAUCAUCGUGUCCAUGUUUAUCUGGAAACCUUGGGCCGCACUGGAUAGGCUGUGCUGAAAAUGACUUAUGAUGGCAGCCUUGGGUCACAUGGUAUUCGCUUGGCCUCCAGAGGUGCUAAUGCUCGAAGUUAGUUGUGUGGGUGGUCAACCACGUCAACCCGACUCAGUCUCAAUAAAAACAAUGGGCACAAAGGCUCAGGUGAGCUUCUGGAGUUAGCAAUACUCCAUGUGUACUGUCAUACCUAGAAGUUAGUGCUGUCUGGGACUCAACACAGAGAGGAACGCUGGAAGCUCUGUGCCUGGAACUCCCUGGGCUCUGCCCUGUGUGCCUCUUCUCCUGGCUGAUUUUAAUCUGAUCUGAGAUUCCUUCCUCUGUUGACCUGAUGCCUUUGCUGUCAGGCCCCACCGCAGAGAAAACACCGAGGAGGAAGUGAUCAUGCCUGUCUUCCAGUAACCUCUACCCUGGGCCUCUGAGAGCAGAUAGCACAGGUGAGGGUCUCUGCACCUUCUGGUUUGCUUGGUCUCCUCCAUCCUCCCUCAGACUCCUCAGCUAGACUUCUAGGAGGACCUGGGUCUCCUCUUUCUGCUCACUUGAGGUCAACCCCUUAGAUCCAGUCUGAGCCACACAGAGAGCCUCUUUAGGAGAAAGCCAGUGGAGGCCUCAGUGAGAUAGCCCUACUGGGGGCCUUGCAUGGCUGACCACAGAAGUCAGAUUUUGUGGGACCCCCUCUGUUCUGGGGUGGGUUGUGCCUUUCAUCUUCAUCCAGGGUCUGUGCCUUGGUACCUGGCAGGGAAUGGGUGGCCUCCCUUCUGCUGAACUGAGUCCUCCACCACCACUUACCCAAGGCCUCACCAUCCUGAGACACCUGCAGGGAAGCAAGGAAACAUUUCAUCUUGUUAGCCCUUCCCAGGCCUUCCAGAGCCGACAGCAGGGGUGGGACUCUGGCAUCCUCUCUGCUCCAGAGCGACUGAUCCCCUGAAUACUCACUCGGGGUCCUCACCGUGAUUCCUGGAAUGGAAUAGACUUUCUCUUUUCUACUAAUCUGAGUCCUGACCCCUCAGACCAUGGCUCUCACCUCCAGGAGACCUCUGAUGGGGAAGUUGAGGAAUCUCAUCCUGCCUGGGGUCUCCAGGGGAUGACAGCAGGGGCCAGCCAGACUCCAGGGCCCACUCUAUCUGGCUUUAGUACAACAUGGGUCCUCAUGCUGUGGUCAACCCCUUGGCUGCAAUCAGGGCCUGGGAUCCAUUGCUGAUCUGAGGCUUCUGUUCCGAAAACCAACACCCUUACCUCCCAGUCUCCUGAGGAGGAGUGAGGAUGCACUGCCAGAGUCAGUUGGCCUCCCCUUCCUGGGAUCUUCCAGGGCUGACAGCAGGGCUGGUGGUGACGGAGCUCUAUAGAGCCUCAUUUGUUCUGAAGGUAAGAAAGUUUUCUGCAGGAAUGAGUUCUGCUGCUUCUUCAGAAUGCAGUCAGACUUGUUCUGUCUCUUUUCCUUUCCCUUCCCCUAUAGCAUGUGUGUGUGUGUGUGUGUGUGUGUGUGACAUUUUCAUGUAUACAGGGUUUGAUUUCUGGACCUGCUAUCCUUUUCCAUUAAUCAAUUUAUCAGUUCCUAAUCCAGAACCAUACUGCUUAACUGUUGCAUUAACUUUGCUAUCACUUAAGCCAAUUCCCUGUUCAUUAUCUGCUUUUCUUCAAUCCAAUCUUGGUUUUACAGCUGUUACAUUGCUGUGUAUUUAUCCAGUUCACCUUUAAGUUCAAUUAUAAUCCUAAACAUUUUCUCAUAUCUCAUGCAGGUUUUAUUAGAAUAUGACAUAUUCAUGUGUUCAGAAUUUUCAUGACCUUCAUUAAAGUUUUUCAUUUUCUUUUGUUUAACAAUGGAACCAUUUUUCCUAAGUUUAUUUCUAGAUAUAUUAUUAUUUAUAAUUACUGUUUAGAAUGCAC